GCGACAGAGUGAGACUCCAUCUCAAAACAAAAACAAAAACAGAAACAAAAAUAAAACCAACAAAAUGAAAAAGAUACAAAAAAAAAAAAGAAAGCAGGAGUAGCUCACAGUUACCAGUCACACCCAAUGACCCAGUGGGGGAAUUUUGUGCUUUUAUUCCCACAACUCUGAGCUCUGCAGAGGGAGCGGCCCACAGACUAUAUGCUAGGACCGCUGCCCGGGCCCUUGGACUGCAUGUGCUUGGGGCCAGCACAGAAGAAAAGGAGUUGUGUGGUGGCAGGGGUAACUGACACAUCAGCAGGCGGAGGCCAGGCUGCUUCUGUGCAAUGGGGCUAGGGAGGAACAUGUGUGGAACCCACAUUUGGCCUACUUGGGGGCCUCUUCUGUUUUAACAGAAUGGACACUUGCAACAACCCUGGCCUGAGGAAGGUGUGCUUAUUAAGGCCUCAGCGUCCUCAGGAAUAAAAUUUUUCCAGGUUAGCCACCAGGACCUGCUGUGGAGACAGCUGAGCGAGGGGAAUUGAGAAGGGAUAUGGACAGGAGAGGAUGGGUACCAGUGUGGCCCUAAGAUCUGCUGUAGCAACAGGGGCCACAUCCCCAGGAAGGCACACUGAAUCGGGGAGGAGCUGCCCCCUGCCCCCGGAUGGAAGAUCAGAUCUCAGCACCCGGCAGACCAUGGCAAUGUGGACCUGGACAGCUGCGGAGCAUGGCUGGCUGCAGCCCCGGUUGCCACCCCUCUGGAUCCACCCAGCAUUUGUGCUGAGACCACAAUUCCCCUAGACUACUCUCAACCAACAACUAGACAGGCUGGGAAUCCAGCACAGGCUCUUUCCUGUGGGACGCAGGAGUCCUCUGAUAGCAGCGAUGGCCCAAGGAUGGCACAGUGCUUGGCGACACUGUGCUGCCAUCCUGAGACUUUCUGCUCAGCCCUCCUUUCCCCAUCCCCUUUCAUGGGAGGCAGACCAGCAGCAUGCUCUGAGGGCUCCCCUGCCACCUCCUGCUCCCUCCUGUGUACUUUGCAGGUGUCCCCCAGUGACUCUUGCAUGUCUAAUCUCAGCUUGGCAUCUGCUCCUUGGGGGACCUGAACUAACGUAAGAGCUUCAGACUCCAUCCCUCCAAAGUUCAUUGGGUCCAGUCUUCUGCUUCUAGCCUGGGCUGUCCGUGCUCACAAGACCGAGGAGAUGGAAGCCCCUCUCCUGAAAGGACAGAGGAUGUCUCCUCCUUCCUCCUUGUCGAGACAUUGGCUUUGAGUCCUCUGGAAGUCCUUCCUCAGACCUAGUUUAGAGCCUCCCAGCUCUCUAAAUGGUUCCUGCCACCUCAGUGGUCCCUAGCCCAGACACCGUGGCGGACGUUGAGUGGAGUGCCACAGCCUUAGCACCCUUGGGUGCGUGUGCAGCAUGGACCUGGCCCACACAGGGGGCCUGGGCCCACCCGGGCUAGGGCCGCUGAGCUUGACCCCCAGGCUCCCUGCAGUCUUCCCACCUCCCUUGGAGCCCCCGUGGUGAACAGCGCAUGCGCUCUACCUGGCUCCUUCUCACGACUUGUUGGAAAGGAGAAUUGAUGACAACAUCAAUAAUGUGACUUGUAUACAAGCUGCACUGCCAACAAACCCGAGUUCUGGGGAUAAAUCCUUUUCUCGCCCGGUAAUUGCUCUGUAAGCCAAAAGGAAUUACGCUUUUCUUGGCAACCACAACAGGGCCUCCCCAGGACGCCAGAGCUUCCCUUCUGCUGGUGACUUCCGCACCGCCCCACAGGCUGUUCACAAGCCUCUGUCCACCCAGAUGCCCUAACCACGGCCCCUGGGCUCAGGACAUAGGGUGUAGGUGCUCUGCUGGGCCCCUCAACCCACCCCUCCUGCCCGUGGCUGGUGGGUGGAGAUGGGCUCACUGUGUUCUUUGUCCCAAGUGGCUCUUGAAUGGACACAGUCAUCAGGGGAUUCCAUUAACCCAACAUACGCAGAGCCCAGGGAGGGAAGGCAGUGAGGGAGGAGGAAGAGUCAGGGCCAUGAGCUAGGGUCUGGGCUUGGAUGAGAGAGGAGGGGAGCAAAAGAAGGAGUGUGCAGAGGGAUGGGCGAAGGCAGUGGGCACUGUCCUGAAUCUGCUCCUUGUGCCCCCAGGGAGGGCUGUGCAUGCCAGGCAUGGGGGCAGCAGUCAGAGAACAAGACCGAGGAGUCGUCAGUGGGGAUUAGGGCCUGCUGCAGCUGUUCCAUUCCGUCACAGAGAUUUUUAUGCCGAGCCUGGGCCCUCUCUAUGGGGGAUCCCACUGGAGUCUUCCAAGAUUUUUCAAAUUGCUCCCUUCCAUCAUCUUCCUUCUCCCUCCAGCCCCAGGCCCCCACUGCUCCCUCUUUCUCCUCCUCUUCUUUCACCGUGGCUCUGACAAGUGAGGUUAGUGACUCUUGACUGGAGGCUGAGGGAAAAGGCCCAUUUGGAGAACCCUGAAUGGGGCAUGACUUUCUCUUUUCUGGAGAUAGUGGUCUCCCUGCUCCCCUACCUCCCUUGCUUUCGGGCCUGGGAUGAUGUGCUCUCUCUGUCCUGAGGCAGGCAUGAGCUGGUGUCUGCCGGUGGGAGAUUCUCACCCUGCUUGGUGCUUGCAAUGCCCUGGCCCCCUACGCAGGACUCUGAACCCAAGCUCUCUGGGCUGUGUGUCCAUUCUCUGGGCCCUUGGAGCUGAGGAGCCGCCGGGAAGCAGAGCUGGGCCCUCCUGCUGACAGUAAGCCCGGAGCUGCAGCAGCCUUGGUAUUAGCGGUGCCAGGCGGCCCUGGGGCUCUCAAGCCCUGCCCAGGCUCUCCUGUGUUCAGGUGAACUGCCCAGCAUCUGCUCAUCAUUCUGACUGCUGCCUGCUUAGGGCCUGGACUCGAGAGCCAGGGUCCCGGGUGGGAAGCCCUCCCCAGUGUCUCUGGGUGAUCUUGAGCAAGGCUUUUGUUAUGGUUUGAAUGUGUCCCCCCAAAUUCAUGUGUUGGAAAGUUUAUCUUCAGUGUAAGGGUGUGGGAGUUGGGGCCUAAUGAAAGGUGAUUAGGUCGCGGGGGCACCACCCUCAUGGAUGGAUUGUCUCUAUCAAGGGAGCAGGUUAGUUAUGGAGAGAGUGGGCAUGUUAUGAAAGUGAGACUGGCCCCUUCCUGCUCUCUUGCUCUCAGGGCAUGCUCUCUUGCCGGCCGGCCUUCCACCAUGGGAUGACGCAGCAAGAAGGCUCCUGCCACAGGCAGGCCACUCGACCUUGGACUUUCCAGCCUCCAAAACUUAGAGAUGGGGUUUCACUGUGUUGGCCAAGAUGGUCUCGAUCUCCUGACCUCGUGAUCCGCCUGCCUCGGCCUCCCAAAGUGCUGGGAUUACAGGCAUGAGCCCGGCCUCUUUCAGUCUCUUUUCUACAGACUGUGACUGCACGUCUGACUUGGCUCCCCAGCCCUGCACAGUGCCUGGUAUGCAGAAGUGCUCAGUUUUCUAUAAAUGUCUGCUGUGGACCAAACUGAUGGAAUCAGCAUCCAAAAGGAAUGCCACAGGCUGAAAUGCUAUCCCUCAUCACCAAGAUAAAACAUUGCAGAGAUGCAUGAAAAUUACAUUUGGGGAGUAAAUAGGCAGCCCAAGUACAGAGUUAAGAAGAUCUGCUUAGAGGUGGCACACAUGAAAACAACUCAAAGGUUUACUUGCCCAUCCAAAUAUCCAUCCAUCCAUCCAUCCAUCCAUCCAUCCAUCCAUCCACCCAACCCCCUCCUGUCCCCAGAAGUUUAACCACCAGGAUUGAGCCCCUCUGUGUCCCAUCCAACCUCUUAAGCUUAGAUGGGUUGGCUGUGCCCAGUGUGUAAGAGGGGGUAGGCCAGGUUCAGGGAGGACACACAGACAAUUCCUCACCCCUCCACCCCCAUCCCCUGCUGGUCAGACCAGUUCCAGGGACCAGUAUUUAAUACCUGGCCCUUAGAAUGGGAAGGAGAUGGCAAUGUGUGUGUGUGUGUAUGUUUCUUCAGGAACACCUUUUUUAUUUUUUUUGAGAUGGAAUCUCGCUGAGUCACCCA
This is a long non-coding RNA of Rhinopithecus roxellana (golden snub-nosed monkey), 4006 nucleotides long. RefSeq lists it as uncharacterized. The record is from RefSeq and is a predicted model, not a curated record. The transcript is spliced from 3 exons. NCBI's taxonomy places the organism in Eukaryota, Metazoa, Chordata, Mammalia, Primates, Cercopithecidae.